AGAGGUUGAUCCUGGCUCAGAGUGAACGCUGGCGGCGUGCCUAACACAUGCAAGUCGAACGGUAACAGCUCUUUCGGGAGGCUGACGAGUGGCGCACGGGUGAGUAAGGUAUAGGUAUGUGCCCUUUAGACCGGGAUAGCCACUGGAAACGGUGAUUAAUACCGGAUAUCCCUGCGGGGGAAAGCUUUUGCGCUAAAGGAUCGGCCUAUAUUGUAUCAGCUAGUUGGUGAGGUAAGAGCUCACCAAGGCGAUGACACAUAGCGGGUUUGAGAGGAUGAUCCGCCACACUGGUACUGAGACACGGACCAGACUCCUACGGGAGGCAGCAGUGAGGAAUAUUGCACAAUGGGGGGAACCCUGAUGCAGCAACGCCGCGUGGAGGAUGACGCAUUUCGGUGUGUAAACUCCUUUUAACUGAGAAGAUAAUGACGGUAUCUGAUGAAUAAGCUCCGGCUAACUCCGUGCCAGCAGCCGCGGUAAUACGGAGGGAGCAAGCGUUAUUCGGAAUCACUGGGCGUAAAGGACGCGUAGGCGGGUUUUUAAGUCAGAUGUGAAAUCCUAUGGCUCAACCAUAGAACUGCAUUUGAAACUGGGAACCUAGAGUAUGGAAGGGGAAGAUGGAAUUAGUGGUGUAGGGGUAAAAUCCGUAGAUAUCACUAGGAAUACCGAAAGCGAAGGCGAUCUUCUGGGACAUAACUGACGCUGAGGCGUGAAAGGUNGGGGAGCAAACAGGAUUAGAUACCCUGGUAGUCCACGCCCUAAACGAUGAAUGCUAGUCGUCGGAGAGCUCGUCUCUUCGGUGAUGCACUUAACAGAUUAAGCAUUCCGCCUGGGGAGUACGGUCGCAAGAUUAAAACUCAAAGGAAUAGACGGGGACCCGCACAGGUGGUGGAGCAUGUGGUUUAAUUCGAAGAUACGCGAAGAACCUUACCUGGCCUUGACAUUGAUAGAAUCUUUCAGAGAUGAGAGAGUGCCUUUCGGGGAGCUAGAAAACAGGUGCUGCACGGCUGUCGUCAGCUCGUGUCGUGAGAUGUUGGGUUAAGUCCCGCAACGAGCGCAACCCUCGUCCUUAGUUGCUAACAGUUCGGCUGAGCACUCUAAGGAGACUGCCUUCGUAAGGAGGAGGAAGGUGAGGACGACGUCAAGUCAUCAUGGCCCUUACGGCCAGGGCUACACACGUGCUACAAUGGGGCGUACAGAGUGUUGCGAUACCGCGAGGUGGAGCUAAUCACUUAAAGCGUCUCUCAGUUCGGAUUGGAGUCUGCAACUCGACUCCAUGAAGCUGGAAUCACUAGUAAUCGUAGAUCAGCAAUGCUACGGUGAAUACGUUCCCGGGUCUUGUACUCACCGCCCGUCACACCAUGGGAGUUGAUUUCGCCCGAAGCGGGGAUGCUAAACUGGCUACCCUCUACGGCGGAAUUAGCGACUGGGGUGAAGUCGUAACAAGGUAACC
This 1453-nucleotide ribosomal RNA is filed under the name uncultured bacterium. RNAcentral's name for it is "bacterial SSU rRNA". It matches the Rfam family "Bacterial small subunit ribosomal RNA". The record is from RNAcentral.